This 367-nucleotide transfer-messenger RNA is filed under the name Magnetococcales. RNAcentral describes it as "UBA8363 sp015228975 Standard tmRNA". It matches the Rfam family "transfer-messenger RNA". From Rfam's summary of the family: Bacterial tmRNA, also known as 10Sa RNA or SsrA, is named for its dual tRNA and mRNA-like properties. Its role is to liberate the mRNA from a stalled ribosome. RNAcentral also lists the same sequence under 1 other name. The record is from RNAcentral. Lineage: Bacteria; Pseudomonadati; Pseudomonadota; Magnetococcia.
GGGGGUGUCACGGUUUCGACGGGGUAUGGAAAGAUUUUGGAGGCGGCUCGGCAUCGCACCACCGUAAUCGGGCGGAACUUUAUAAUUGCCAACGACGAGCAUUAUGCUCCGGUGAGGGCAGCGGCCUAAAACCGCUGCUUGAUCGGGGUCCGGAUCCAGACCCGGCAACAGAAGUCUCACGACAGGAUCAAGCCGGAAUGUGAAGGCCGGUUAAAAUCCAGGUUCACCCAGUUUUCCGAGGUUACGGAAGCAAAGGACCCAGCCGGUCUGUAACCGGGUCCCGCGCUCACGACCGGCAAAAUGGCCGUACAUCUUCCAGGUUGAAUACAUGUUUCGGACGCGGGUUCGACUCCCGCCACCUCCACCA